UACAGAGACUGCGAGCGUUAUUCGGAUUCACUGGGCGUAAAGGGUGCGCAGGCGGCCGUGUGUGUGAGGCGUGAAAGCCCGGGGCUUAACCCCGGAAUUGCGCCUCAAACUACACGGCUAGAGCAUUGGAGAGGGUAGCGGAAUUCACGGUGUAGCAGUGAAAUGCGUAGAUAUCGUGAGGAACACCAGAGGCGAAGGCGGCUACCUGGACAAUUGCUGACGCUCAGGCACGAAAGCGUGGGGAGCAAAAGGG
This 253-nucleotide ribosomal RNA is filed under the name uncultured bacterium. Its description in RNAcentral is "partial 16S ribosomal RNA". It matches the Rfam family "Bacterial small subunit ribosomal RNA", at positions 524 to 776 of the family's 1533-position model. The record is from RNAcentral.